This 63-nucleotide microRNA precursor is filed under the name Alligator mississippiensis (American alligator). Its description in RNAcentral is "Ami-Mir-146-P4_pre stem-loop". It matches the Rfam family "mir-146 microRNA precursor family", at positions 16 to 75 of the family's 90-position model. Lineage: Eukaryota; Metazoa; Chordata; Crocodylia; Alligatoridae. The record is from RNAcentral.
UGAGAACUGAAUUCCAUGGGUUGUAAUUGAAUCUUGAACAGACCCAUGGGGCUCAGUUCUUCA